RNAcentral lists this ribosomal RNA (253 nucleotides) under uncultured bacterium. RNAcentral's name for it is "partial 16S ribosomal RNA". It matches the Rfam family "Bacterial small subunit ribosomal RNA", at positions 524 to 776 of the family's 1533-position model. The record is from RNAcentral.
UACGUAGGAUGCGAGCGUUGUCCGGAUUUAUUGGGCGUAAAGAGUUCGUAGGUGGUUCGUUAAGUCUGGUGUAAAAGACUGGGGCUCAACCCUGGGAUCGCACUGGAUACUGGCGGACUGGAGUGUGGUAGAGGCAAGCGGAAUUCCCAGUGUAGCGGUGAAAUGCGUAGAUAUUGGGAAGAACACCGGUGGCGCAAGCGGCUUGCUGGGCCAUAACUGACACUGAGGAACGAAAGCUAGGGGAGCGAAUGGG